Molecule: ribosomal RNA, 164 nt
Filed under: Acer pseudoplatanus (sycamore maple)
Lineage: Eukaryota; Viridiplantae; Streptophyta; Magnoliopsida; Sapindales; Sapindaceae
Description: 5.8S ribosomal RNA
Rfam family: 5.8S ribosomal RNA
About the family: 5.8S ribosomal RNA (5.8S rRNA) is a component of the large subunit of the eukaryotic ribosome. It is transcribed by RNA polymerase I as part of the 45S precursor that also contains 18S and 28S rRNA.
Source: RNAcentral
AAAACGACUCUCGGCAACGGAUAUCUCGGCUCUCGCAUCGAUGAAGAACGUAGCGAAAUGCGAUACUUGGUGUGAAUUGCAGAAUCCCGUGAACCAUCGAGUCUUUGAACGCAAGUUGCGCCCCAAGCCGUUAGACCGAGGGCACGCCUGCCUGGGUGUCACGC